GAUGAACGCUGGCGGCGUGCCUAGUACAUGCAAGUCGAGCGAACAGAUGAGGAGCUUGCUCCUCUGACGUUAGCGGCGGACGGGUGAGUAACACGUGGAUAACCUACCUAUAAGACUGGGAUAACUUCGGGAGACCGGAGCUAAUACCGGAUAAUAUAUUGAACCGCAUGGUUCAAUAGUGAAAGACGGUUUUGCUGUCACUUAUAGAUGGAUCCGCGCCGCAUUAGCUAGUUGGUAAGGUAACGGCUUACCAAGGCAACGAUGCGUAGCCGACCUGAGAGGGUGAUCGGCCACACUGGAACUGAGACACGGUCCAGACUCCUACGGGAGGCAGCAGUAGGGAAUCUUCCGCAAUGGGCGAAAGCCUGACGGAGCAACGCCGCGUGAGUGAUGAAGGUCUUCGGAUCGUAAAACUCUGUUAUUAGGGAAGAACAAAUGUGUAAGUAACUAUGCACGUCUUGACGGUACCUAAUCAGAAAGCCACGGCUAACUACGUG
Molecule: ribosomal RNA, 497 nt
Filed under: uncultured bacterium
Lineage: Bacteria
Description: partial 16S ribosomal RNA
Rfam family: Bacterial small subunit ribosomal RNA
Source: RNAcentral